GAUCUGUAACCGGAAACCUUUCUAUCAAUACAGGGCCAUCGUGUCCCUGGCUGUGCCACGAGCUUCGGGAGAAAUAACACGUUAGAUAAGUCCACUUAAGUACAUAAUUCGAGAUUGAUCCCCUAUCCUCAGUCAUCUGCCCAUCGACAUUCUCUCCUUUCUUUUUUUUUUUUAUAAAUGUCUCUAAUUUCCCCUAAGUCUCUUCGCUCGAACCCGAUUGUUGCAAGAGAAAGGCAAAAUAAAACUAGCAACGUUAGCUUCUCCCUAAAUUCAAAAUUUACCUCCUUUCCUUCUCAACCAAUGAUGACACUACUUUCUUUUUUCCUUUUUUUUUUUUUUGGACCUUCAAACGACGAAUGUCGAGGGGAGAAUAAUGCUUGCGGCUUGAAAGCAACACCGAAGACAGAAAGCAGCGGCCACACGAAUUACUAGAAGAACUAGCGGGGCGUUGAUAACCCUGCACAGCAAGGCAAUAGUUAGACAACAGAAUCUGAAGAGCGACGUCGAUGGUGUCCAGAAGUUUUGCAGAUUAAGAUGCAUCGUCGGGACAACAAAUUCCACGACCCAUUGACGUCAUCACCUCAAAUUAUUACUUGCAAUGUCACGCAACACCACGUGCACCCAUCGAUCGUCGAAGUCUUUCGCCAGAUCUUGUUUCCACGUUUCGUUUUUCAUUUUGGCAACAAGACCAACCAACCGUUUCAGACAACGCGCGAUCAUCGAUGCAGAAAGCGGAUAUGCGAGGCUGGAAAAGCUUCUUUUACGUUUCACCUCCGGCUCACGUUAAGCGUAUGUAACUUGAACUAUGUCUAUCAAGUAUCUUCAAAAAUGUAGAAAAUGAUCAAAAUCGUUGAGCUGUUUAAAACGCUGUUUAUCCCAAAGAAAAAGCCAACACAAUGCUACAUUUUUUUUCUUUUUGUUUUUUUGGCAAAAAACACACUGCCCAAAAAUGGUACACGUGACUGAAAGCUAUUACAAUACUUUUAUAAUACCAAUACCAACGAGAGAGAGAGAGAGAGAGAGA
Molecule: long non-coding RNA, 1024 nt
Organism: Frieseomelitta varia
Lineage: Eukaryota; Metazoa; Arthropoda; Insecta; Hymenoptera; Apidae
Exons: 3
Source: RefSeq, a predicted model, not a curated record